GGGCUUGACAUCCCACGAACCUGUGGAAACACGGGAGUGCCUUCGGGAGCGGAGAGACAGGUGGUGCAUGGUUGUCGUCAGCUCGUGUCGUGAGAUGUUGGGUUAAGUCCCGCAACGAGCGCAACCCUUGUCCCCUGUUGCCAUCAGGUCAGGCUGGGCACUCUGGGGAGACUGCCGGUGACAAACCGGAGGAAGGUGGGGAUGACGUCAAGUCAGCAUGGCCUUGAUGUCUGGGGCCACACACGUGCUACAAUGGCCGGUACAAACCGUGGCGAGCCCGCGAGGGGGAGCUAAUCGGAAAAAGCCGGUCUCAGUUCGGAUCGCAGGCUGCAACUCGCCUGCGUGAAGGUGGAAUCGCUAGUAAUCGCAGAUCAGCACGCUGCGGUGAAUACGUUCCCGGGCCUUGUACACACCGCCCGUCACAUCACGAAAGCUGGCUGUACUCGAAGUCGCUGAG
Molecule: ribosomal RNA, 457 nt
Filed under: uncultured bacterium
Lineage: Bacteria
Description: bacterial SSU rRNA
Rfam family: Bacterial small subunit ribosomal RNA
Source: RNAcentral